CUUUGUGACUCCUACGGGAGGCAGCAGUGGGGAAUAUUGCACAAUGGGCGCAAGCCUGAUGCAGCAACGCCGUGUGAGUGAAGAAGGUUUCGGAUCGUAAAACUCUGUCCUAAGGGAAGAAACAAAUGACGGUACCUUAGGAGGAAGCCCCGGCUAACUACGUGCCAGCAGCCGCGGUAAUACGUAGGGGGCAAGCGUUAUCCGGAAUCACUGGGCGUAAAGGGUGCGUAGGCGGCUUAGCAAGCCAGGGGUGAAAGGCAUUGGCUCAACCAAUGUAAGCCUUUGGAACUGUUAAGCUUGAGUGCAGGAGAGGUAAGUGGAAUUCCUAGUGUAGAGGUGAAAUUCGUAGAUAUUAGGAGGAACACCAGUGGCGAAGGCGACUUACUGGACUGUAACUGACGCUGAUGCACGAAAGCGUGGGUAGCGAACAGGAUUAGAUACCCUGGUAG
Molecule: ribosomal RNA, 449 nt
Filed under: uncultured bacterium
Lineage: Bacteria
Description: bacterial SSU rRNA
Rfam family: Bacterial small subunit ribosomal RNA
Source: RNAcentral